GCGCGAUAGUGUAGUGGUUAAGUAGGCUUGACCUGGGAUCAAAAGGUCCUGAGGUUCAAGUCCUUGCCGCGGCC
Non-coding RNA from Gymnothorax javanicus (giant moray), 74 nucleotides. NCBI's taxonomy places the organism in Eukaryota, Metazoa, Chordata, Actinopteri, Anguilliformes, Muraenidae. The record is from the annotation of a GenBank genome assembly.